AUUUUAUUUAUUUUAAAUUAUGUUUAUUUUAUUUUAUUUUUUUGCGGGGGGAGAAAAAAAAAUUCCACUGGGUCAGACUCUACGGUUAUCUGACCUACUGCGGCUUAACCUAACUUGUCUAAUUCUGCAAUUUUGCUUAGAACAAACACGGCAACAGGCAAGUUUGUUGAGCAGCAGUGACCCAACAUGGCUGCCAGUUAAAAAGUGAUAUUUACAUCAUUUAAAUAAAAAUGUUUUUAAAAAGCCAAUAGGUUUAAUUAAAUAUAAUAAACUUUAAAAAGUAAGUAACAAUUUGAUGGCAGUUGUCCUUAAGGAACCAUCCAACACAAGGUCUUAUUCUUACUGUGUAUGUCCUAAAUAUAAAAAAAUAGAGAGAAAUUCUAUGAUUAAUGUUUUGUUUGUUAAGCAUUAAGUGAGACAGUCACAAACUACACUUUAGCAAACACUUGUAAUUCUGCUUCAUUUAAUAAUUGAUUUGAAAACGCAACCAAAGACUAGCACAAUGAAAUAACCACUCAGGUGAGAGUACUUUAAAUGUCUGGAAAUCCCUGUAGACUAAAUGAAGUAAAGAACACAACAAUGUCUACAUCUUUCUCUUGAGAAUACAUGUUGCCCAUACUGCUUUCACAGUUCCAUUUAACGAGCAAAUGUAAUAACAAUCUGCCUAAAAUCUUUAUUUCACACACUUUUGAUUUUAAAUCUUCGCUUAUGAAGCCUGUCGCAGUCCACUCUCACCUGACACAAUUACAUAAUCCUUUGGGGAAUUAGUAUUUCUCUUAAAUCUGUCAUGCCUUUAUUGGGGUGAUAAUACGUUGGUCUGAAACUUUUUUUAUAUGGAGUUACCCUUUUAGAACACAAUGUGCACAGUAAGAUGCCAUAUUACCACAAUAUGUAUUUAAAUCUGUUCUUGGCUAGAUGACUGAUAUUUAAAUAUAUAUUUUCAGAUAAAUACAGCAUAGCCUAAAUGUUGAAGGGGCACUCUAAGCAAUGUAACUGCUACAGCUCAGUGUAGUGGCCAUACUGUUGGCCGUGUUGGGCAACCUUUUUCUCUCUGCCAUUUUAAGAGCAGUUUGGCAAGAAACAAAAAAAAGGGGGGGGGGCAAGGAGGGUGCUUUUCCAAGGACCAGGAGACCAUCCUUUUUCAACCACAUUGAUAAUGCAGAGUUGACUUAUCAAUGUAGUUUUCAUUCAGCCUUCCUGGUGGUAAAUGGUUGGAGACGGGUUAGUUCAGAAUUCUCAAUUUAGAGUUAUCUCAACGCUGUCCAGGUUUGAUGGAAUCGACAUUAUGUAGACAUGUAAUUUCUACAUUAUCAACAUGACCAAGAAAGGGGAUGGACUUUGGGUGUUGGAGUGAACCCUUAGAUUUUAAGAAAGCACUUGUAAUCGUUUGACCAGCAUUCGUGUGAAGUUAUGAGAGACUAUAGAAACAUAACCACUACAUUGAGCUGUUGCAUUUAUGAUGCUUAGUGUGUACUUAAUGUGAACCUAUUAUGUAUGAGCCUUUUGUGAACCUAAUUUUAUCUUUUAUAAAUUUGUAAUGAUAUAGUCUUAUAUUGCAAGCAAUGUUAAUUAAAUGCAUUGUGAUCAUUAGUGAC
This is a non-coding RNA of Pelobates cultripes (western spadefoot toad), 1595 nucleotides long. The record is from the annotation of a GenBank genome assembly. NCBI's taxonomy places the organism in Eukaryota, Metazoa, Chordata, Amphibia, Anura, Pelobatidae.